CUAGCUUAUUUUAAUUUUGCAGCUAUGAGCCCCACCCUUAUGCUUUUUUCUCUACUAUCUAUAAUUAUGUGCAUUAUUUCGAAAAUAUAGUUAUUUUAUGUAACAUUGUGUAUUGGUGGUGUUUGUUUAACCUUUGACAUUUCAUAUUAUUUUGUGCCAGAAUUGAAAUUCUUAACAUCAAAUGUAUAGUAUGUUCAGGUUGACUUCUAACUAAAUGAAACUUAAAUAACUCAAAGGUUUUAGAUAGAUAUUAGAGUAAAUGAAUUACUCAUUUACUCUACUAUCUAUGGUUUUACUCUAAAUCUAAUCAAUGCCAAAUUUACACACAGAUAUAUUCUCAGCAAUGCGCUUCAUUUGAUGUAUAGGACUAGUGGAUAAGACUUUAGGAACUGCAGAAAGUAUAAAAGCUGCAAAAUCUAAGCACUGCCGCCACUUAAAAGCCACUGCCUACCAUUAUAAUCACAACAGGAGGUGUGACCGGAAGUUAGAAUAAAUUGUUUAAAAUGGCGUCCAAAGUGAGAAGAAGAGAAAGCAAGGAGUUAGAUUGAAUAGCCAGGGCAGGAAGGGUUUGAUUUAGCUACUCCUGAUAAAUAGAAGAACUUGGUAAAACAUGUUCAAGAUAAUUUUGAGGAUCACUACUGGGAACUGGACGGAAUUCGGGAAUUUGUCAUCCAUGAUUCUAUGUUGUCUAAUUGGUGGUGAAUCUGAUGAUUAAUAUGAUAGUAGUGAUGAUGAAGUACUACCAUCAGACCCUGACUCUGAUGAUGACUUGGCCGCUCUGGAUGAGUCUGAUUUUUAUGUAUAAUAAUAGUGUUUUAAUCCAAUGUUUUUAUAAUGCAUGCUAAUUAAUAAUAAUGAAAUUCAUAACUACUUCAUACUCACUUAACAUC
Molecule: long non-coding RNA, 890 nt
Organism: Amphimedon queenslandica
Lineage: Eukaryota; Metazoa; Porifera; Demospongiae; Haplosclerida; Niphatidae
Exons: 2
Source: RefSeq, a predicted model, not a curated record